RNAcentral lists this ribosomal RNA (443 nucleotides) under uncultured bacterium. RNAcentral describes it as "partial 16S ribosomal RNA". It matches the Rfam family "Bacterial small subunit ribosomal RNA", at positions 338 to 795 of the family's 1533-position model. The record is from RNAcentral.
CCUACGGGAGGCAGCAGUGGGGAAUAUUGGGCAAUGGGCGCAAGCCUGACCCAGCAAAGUCGCGUGAAGGAAGACGGCUCUAGGGUUGGUAAAUUGCUUUUUUAGGGAAGUAACAAGUGACGGUUCCUGAGGAUUAAGCCAAGGCUAACUACGAGGAAGCAGUCGCGGGAAGACGUAGGCGGCGAGCGUUAUCCGGAUUUACUGGGUGUAAAGGGUGUGUAGGCGGGACUGGAAGUCAGAUGUGAAAACCACGGGCUCAACCUGUGUCCUGCAGUGGAAACUGUAGUUCUUGAGUACGGGCGAGGCAGGCGGAAUUCGUGGUGUAGCGGUGAAAUGCUUAGAUAUUACGAGGAACGCCGGUUGCGAAGGCAGCUUACUGGAGCGUAACUGACGCUGAUGCUCGAAAGCGUGGGGAGCGAACAGGAUUAGAUACCCUAGUAGUC